Molecule: RNA transcript, 1006 nt
Organism: Chrysochloris asiatica (Cape golden mole)
Lineage: Eukaryota; Metazoa; Chordata; Mammalia; Afrosoricida; Chrysochloridae
Gene name: importin subunit alpha-4-like
Exons: 2
Source: RefSeq, a predicted model, not a curated record
CUGGAGCCAUGCGCAGCCAUGGCUGAGAACCCCGGCUUGGAGAACCAUCGCAUCAAGAGCUUCAAGAACAAGGGCCUCGAUGUGGAAACAAUACGAAGACACAGAAAUGAAGUGACAGUUGAACUACGGAAGAACAAAAGAGAUGAACACUUAUUUAAAAAGAUAAAUGUUCCCCAAGAAGAAAGUCUAGAAGACUCGGAUGUUGAUGCUGAUUUUAAAGCACAAAAUGUAACACUAGAAGCUAUAUUGCAGAAUGCCACAAGUGAUAACCCAGUGAUUCAGUUGAGUGCUGUCCAGGCUGCAAGAAAGCUAUUAUCCAGUGACAGAAACCCACCAAUUGAUGACCUAAUAAAAUCUGGGAUCUUACCAAUUCUAGUCAAAUGUCUAGAAACAGAUGAUAAUCCUUCAUUACAGUUUGAAGCUGCUUGGGCACUAACAAACAUAGCAUCAGGAACAUCUGCACAGACUCAAGCUGUUGUAGUCUAAUGCAGUACCUCUUUUUCUGAGACUUCUUCAUUCACCACAUCAGAAUGUUUGUGAACAAGCAGUAUGGGCCUUGGGAAACAUUAUAGGUGAUGGUCCUCAAUGUAGAGAUUAUGUCAUAUCACUGGGAGUUGUCAAACCUCUUCUGUCCUUCAUCAAUCCCUCCAUUCCUAUCACCUUCCUUCGGAACGUCACAUGGGUCAUUGUCAAUCUCUGCAGGAAUAAGGAUCCCCCACCGCCUAUGGAAAGAGUUCAGGAGAUUUUACCAGCAUUAUGUGUCCUCAUAUACCAUACUGACAUAAACAUUCUUGUAGAUACUGUUUGGGCUCUGUCAUACCUGACAGAUGGAGGUAAUGAGCAGAUACAGAUGGUUAUUGAUUCAGGGGUUGUGCCAUUUCUUAUUCUCAAUAAAUCUCUCCCUGAACCUGUUCAUGCAGUUUUGGCUAACCGCCAAGCUAUGCAGCAAACCGCGAAAACUUUGGCACAGAAGACAGAAGUUGAUUGCUGUUAUUUUUGCUGUUAA